This 491-nucleotide ribosomal RNA is filed under the name uncultured bacterium. RNAcentral describes it as "partial 16S ribosomal RNA". It matches the Rfam family "Bacterial small subunit ribosomal RNA", at positions 30 to 506 of the family's 1533-position model. The record is from RNAcentral.
AGUGAACGCUGGCGGUAGGCCUAACACAUGCAAGUCGAACGGCAGCACAGUAAGAGCGUGCUCUUACGGGUGGCGAGUGGCGGACGGGUGAGGAGUACAUCGGACUCUACUUUUUCGUGGGAGUUAACGUAGGUGGACUUACUCUAAUACAGCAUACGACCUACGGGGGAAAGCGGUGGAUCUUCGCGCCUUGCGCGAUUGGAUGAGCCGGUGGCGGGUUAGCUAGUUGGCGGGGUAAAGGCCCACCAAGGGGACGAUCCGUAGCUGGUCUGAGAGGAUGGUCAGGCACUGUGGAGGUGAGAGACGGUCCAGGCUCCUACGGGAGGCAGCAAUGGGUACUGGUGGACAAUGGGCGGAAGCCUGCACAAGCCACGCAGGGUGGGUGAAGCAGGCCUGCGGGUUGUAAAGCCCUUUUGUUGGGAAAGAAAAGUAGCAGGUUAAUACCCCGCUGUUCGGCCGGAACCGAAAGAAUAAGCACCGGCUACCUUCGU